This 194-nucleotide ribosomal RNA is filed under the name uncultured bacterium. RNAcentral's name for it is "partial 16S ribosomal RNA". It matches the Rfam family "Bacterial small subunit ribosomal RNA", at positions 328 to 539 of the family's 1533-position model. The record is from RNAcentral.
ACGCUCGACACCUACGGGAGGCAGCAGUGGGAAUAUUGCACAAUGGGGGAAACCCUGAUGCAGCGACGCCGCGUGGAGGAAGAAGGUCUUCGGAUUGUAAACUCCUGUUGUUGGGAAAANGGAUGGUACCCAACAAGGAAGUGACGGCUAACUACGUGCAAGCAGCCGCGGUAAUCUGAGCGGGCUGGCAAGGC